CUCCAGGGCAGUGAUGAUCUGAAACACAGAGACCAACUCAGCAGGGGGAGACCGCCAGCCUGCCGUCUGCCUUUGCCACAGACUUCAGGUGUUCAGGCGCCUCCACAGACCCUGGACCUCAGAAGUCACGUCCUCGUCGGAAAGAAUGAGAUGCCCGGCCACCCCAGACCGCCAUUCUGCAAGGACAAGGGACAGCAGCUCCCUCCACUCUGUGGCCCCAGCACCUGGCACAGUGCACUAGUGUCUGCUGGGUGAAUGGCAGAAAAAAUGG
Non-coding RNA from Kogia breviceps (pygmy sperm whale), 271 nucleotides. Lineage: Eukaryota; Metazoa; Chordata; Mammalia; Artiodactyla; Physeteridae. The record is from RefSeq and is a predicted model, not a curated record.